Molecule: ribosomal RNA, 424 nt
Filed under: uncultured bacterium
Lineage: Bacteria
Description: bacterial SSU rRNA
Rfam family: Bacterial small subunit ribosomal RNA
Source: RNAcentral
GGGAUAUUGCGCAAUGGGCGAAAGCCUGACGCAGCGACGCCGCGUGGGUGAUGACGGCCUUCGGGUCGUAAAGCCCUGUCGAGGGGAAAGAAUCGGUGGAGGCCGAACACGCCUUUGCCCUGACGGUACCCCUAAAGGAAGCACCGGCUAACUCCGUGCCAGCAGCCGCGGUAAUACGGAGGGUGCGAGCGUUGUUCGGAAUCACUGGGCGUAAAGCGCGUGUAGGCGGUUCGGUAAGUCUGAUGUGAAAGCCCGAGGCUCACCCUCGGAAGUGCAUUGGAAACUGCCGAGCUAGAGUCCCGGAGAGGAGGGUGGAAUUCCUGGUGUAGCGGUGAAAUGCGUAGAUAUCAGGAGGAACACCGGCGGCGAAGGCGGCCCUCUGGACGGUGACUGACGCUGAGACGCGAAAGCGUGGGGAGCAAAC